RNAcentral lists this long non-coding RNA (3788 nucleotides) under Cricetulus griseus (Chinese hamster). RNAcentral describes it as "lncRNA (ENSCGRG00015037320.1)". The record is from RNAcentral. Lineage: Eukaryota; Metazoa; Chordata; Mammalia; Rodentia; Cricetidae.
GCUAGCUUACCAUCUUCAGGACCAAACCAGUCCAACCAAAGCAAGCUCGACAACACCUCAAGCUCCGUGUCACUUGUCAGAAAGUUUCAAGAAAACAUUGCUUGGAUGAUCUAGAGAGCAGUCAUGUGACAGACUGGGCUCUGAAAAAUCACUGAGUGAUUUAGUGCAGUCGGGCAGACAAGACUUUCUGGGGCAGCUCAUCCAAGAGCCGUAGCUGUGCCAUGUGGGGCCAUGUGGCAGGCUGCAUGCUGAGUCACAAGAGCAAGGAAGGGGCACUUCUGAAUCACCACGACCACAUCCUGCCCCUCCCUCAGCUGUUCCCUAGAAACUGUCUGUCAUCUGCUGGGUGAGUUCUCCAUCUGAAGGGCAGGUAUGCUCAGUGCCCCAAACGCCUGUGAACCUAGGUCCGUUCUCCAAGAGCAUCUGGCUCUGUUUCUUCCAGUGGAAUGAAUGUGUGAAGCUCACUGUGAAUAUGUGUGAUGUCCGUGCACACAGACUUGGAUUCAGUGGGAUUUUUCACAUUCUGUUUGCUGGGUACAACACAGCAUCUAUCUCCACUUAGACAAACUCUUGAAAGAUGGCUGUAGCUGACGUACAUCAGAAAGAAAGAGGAGGAACAAUACCAACCCGAUAACAACUUGGGAGGAAUGUGUUCUUUCUUAGAAUUAUAAGACACGUAUUCAUUACUGGUGGAGUCUAAGCAAGCAUGUCACCCCCCUCUGACUCAUCAGGAAAGAAUGUAUGGCAGGCAACUGAAAAUCCUCCCAGUCACCUUCGAUCCAGGGGAAGUUUUCACAAUGAGUCCCACCUCGGCUGUGAGUUUGGCAUGCAUAGUCUUUCUUAGAUUGAGAUGCACUCCUUCUGGACCUAAUUGAUUGCAAGUGGUCUUAUUUGGGGAUGCUGUGCAAAAUCGGGGAGGUAAAGGCCUAGCUGGAGGAGGCAGGUCACCCGAGGGAGAUCCUUGGGGACACAGGACCAUUGUCACUUCUGCCCUCAUCCUGUUCUCUGCCACACUGUAAUAUGAACAGCUGUCUCUGCCAUCAGCUCCCACCACUAUGGCGUUCUCCAGCUCCUAGUGCCAAGCAACUAUGGACUGAGACUUAUGGAACCAUGAACCAGAAUGAACAUUUGCUUCCUUUUCCUGUCAGGCAUUUCUGUGAGAGCGAGGCAAAUGGAACUAAUACAUGUGACAUGUGUCACACUUCAUACUGUAAGUGUGAUGCAUUACAGUUGAACUGUCUUUGUAUCGAAGGGACAUUGUCUUAGUGAAUGAUCUUUUUAAUAGUUUGCCAAAUUUGGUUUGCUAAUAUUUUGUUGAAGACUCCUAUAUGUAUAGUAGUCAGGAAUAUUGGCCUAUACUUUUCAUUUCUUCCAGCAUCCAUAUCUGUCUUUAGGGUCAAUAUAAUGCUGAAAUCACAAAAUGAAUUCAGAAGAAUUUUCUCAACCUCGGGUUUUUUUUUUUUUUUCAUCUGUUUGUUUGUUUUUGUUUUAAAGACAAGUCUCUCAUUAAACCUGGAAAUCACUGCAGCCACUAGUGAGCAAUCCCCAAGGAAUUCUCCUGCUUCUGGCCACCCAGUACUGGAGUUACAGCCAAUAAUGCUGACAUUUUGUGAGCUGGUUAGUUUUCUCAACUUGAUCCAAACAUGGACAUGACCGGGAAGAAGAAGAGUCAACCGAAGAAUCACCUCCAUCAAACCAGCCUGUGGGUGUGCGGAUUCGUAUGCUGGUGGGGUUUUCUUGGUUGCUGAUUGAUGUGAAAAGACCCAGCCACUAAAGGACGUCCCAUCCCUGAGUGCCUGGGCCUGGGUGGUGUAGGAAGAGCAGAUGAGCAAGCCAGAAGAAGCAAGCCAGUGAUCAGUGUUCCUCCAUGACCUGCUUCAGUUCCUGCCUCCAGAUUCCUUUCUUGAGUUUCUUCUCUGGCUUCCCUCAGUGAUGGACUAUAAACCUAUAAGCUAAAACUAACACCUUCCUCCUGAGUGGAUUUUGAUCAGUGUUUUAGCACAGCAAUAGAAAUCAAACAAGAACAGUUUGCCAAUCUUGUCUCUUUAAGGAAAAUCAAGUUUAGUCUUUUGAUGUUUUUCUCCAUUUUUUCAAUGCUCGAUUAUUUCUGUUCUAUCUUUGCUAUUUUUUUCUGCUCACUCUUUUGGGUUUUGUUUUCUUUUUUCUACUUUCUUGAGCAAUAAGGCUACUUAAGUUGUUCUUUUUAAUAAGCAUUUACUGUUAUUAACUUCUCUCAUGAAUGUGGCAUGCUGUGUUUCCAUUUCUGUUUGUCUCAGGACAUUUUCUGAUUUCCCUCUGAAGAUCUUCUUUGACUCAUGUUCACAAAGCAUAUUGCUUAAUCUUCAUGUAUUAUGAAUUUUCUGACAUCCUUCCUAUUGCUUCCCAGCUUAAUACCAUUGUGACAGGGAAUGACACUUGACAUGAGUCAGCUCUCUUAAAUGUCUCAGUCCAUCCCAAAGAAUGUACUGUACUUGAAAAGAAUGUGUAUUUUGCUUCUAUUUUAUGGGAUGUUUUCUGUGUCUCACAGUUCUAUUCACUCUAAAGCCUGAUUCUUACCCAAUGUUUCUUUGCUAUCUACUGAAUUGAACCAUAUACCCAUUGUUGACAGUGGGACACUGAGGUCCCCAAACUCUGUUGUAUCACAACCUACAUCUCCAGAUCAUGUAAUUUUUUAUGUCUAGCUGUGUCUAUGUUGGGUAUAGGUAUAAUUUUAAUAGCUUCUUGAUAAUUUAAUUCUUUAUUAUUGUAUAAUUGUUGUGGAACAUUAGUUGAAGAGGUGUUACAUUCGUUUAUGCUGUGGAGCAUUUGUUUAAGGAUGCAAAGAUGUGCUGCGCUCUUUCAUGUUGCAUUUGUUUAACUCUAUGAAGUUGUGUUACGUUGCCUAGCUAAAACACCUGAUUGGUCUAAUAAAGAGCUGAAUGGCCAAUAGCUAGGCAGGAGAAGGAUAGGCAGGGCUGCCAGGCAGAGAGAAUAAAUAGGAGAAGAAGCAGAAGACAGAGCGAAAAAAGGAGAGGGGAUGCCCGCCAGGGGCCAGCCACCCAGCAACACAGCCAGACAUUGAAUAAGAAGGAAAGAAAAUAUAUACAGAAAUAGAGAAAGGUAAAAAUCUCAGAGGCAAAUGGUAGACAGGACAAUUGAAGAAAAGCUGGCUAGAAAUAAGCCAAGUUAAGGCUGGGCAUUCAAGAAAGUCUCCAUGUGAUUAUUUGGGAGCUGGGUGUUGGGUUCCCAAAGAAUAAAGAGGAAAAAAAGCCUGUACAUAAUGACCUUCUUUAUUUAUCUUUUGCAGUUUUUUUUUAAUGUAUGUUCCAUUUUUUAAGUGUAUGCCGUGCAUGUGGCAUCCUGAAAGACCAGAUAGUAUCAUCAAAUGAGAGUUACAGAUGGUUGUGGGUCAUCCUGUGUAGGUUACUUGGCUUUAUUUCCUUUCUCAGGUGUUUCAGUUCCAGGAUUCUGCAAUCUUCUAUCUUUCGUCGGUGCCAGGGCAUUUCAGGAGGGAGGACUGCUUGUAGCCUUUAUUGGUAUUUUUGCUGUUUAGCUUGAGUUUCCAGAUGGCCAGCUGGUUGUAACAGGGAAUACUUAUUACCAGGUUCUCUAAUUGGGCCUGACCUUUGCUCCAGAAUCAAAUGGAGCCCAUGGCUAGGGUUAUGCUCUCUAGUGAGAUCAUGGCUGGACUCUGAAGUCAGACAGAAUUCUUAGCUGGCCACUGCAAUUCCUCAGAAUCACAGACUGGAUUCUCUACCAGGCAGUACAAUUAGCAUUCUGUAGUUGGGUAAGGCUGCCAACUAAGGUCU